RNAcentral lists this ribosomal RNA (217 nucleotides) under Nepeta pogonosperma. RNAcentral's name for it is "5.8S ribosomal RNA". The stretch from base 13 to 168 matches the Rfam family "5.8S ribosomal RNA". From Rfam's summary of the family: 5.8S ribosomal RNA (5.8S rRNA) is a component of the large subunit of the eukaryotic ribosome. The record is from RNAcentral. Lineage: Eukaryota; Viridiplantae; Streptophyta; Magnoliopsida; Lamiales; Lamiaceae.
AAAUGUCGUAACGACUCUCGGCAACGGAUAUCUCGGCUCUCGCAUCGAUGAAGAACGUAGCGAAAUGCGAUACUUGGUGUGAAUUGCAGAAUCCCGUGAACCAUCGAGUCUUUGAACGCAAGUUGCGCCCGAAGCCGUCAGGCCGAGGGCACGUCUGCCUGGGCGUCACGCAUCGCGUCGCCCCCCUCUCCCCGCGCGGGCGAGGCGGGGCGGAUAU